UUGGAGGGCAAGUCUGGUGCCAGCAGCCGCGGUAAUUCCAGCUCCAAUAGCGUAUAUUAAAGUUGUUGCAGUUAAAAAGCUCGUAGUUGAAUUUCGGGAUCAAUUUAUUGGUCGUGCCAACGGUACGCACUGGUACAAUUGGUUUCUCCCUUCUGACGAAGCAUGAUGUCAUUAAUUUGAUGUCGUGGGGAAUCAGGACUGUUACUUUGAAAAAAUUAGAGUGUUUAAAGCAGGCUUUGGCUUGAAUACAUUAGCAUGGAAUAAUGAAAUAGGACGUUUGAUCUUAUUUCGUUGGUUUCUAAGAUCGACGUAAUGAUUAAUAGGGAUAGCUGGGGGCAUUAGUAUUCAAUUGUCAGAGGUGAAAUUCUUGGAUUUAUUGAAGACUAACUACUGCGAAAGCAUUUGCCAAGGAUGUUUUCAUUAAUCAAGAACGAAAGUUAGGGGAUCGAAGACGAUCAGAUACCGUCGUAGUCUUAACCAUAAACUAUGCCGACUAGGGAUCGGAUGAUGUUAAUUUUUUAAUGACUCAUUCGGCGCCUUACGGGAAAC
RNAcentral lists this ribosomal RNA (549 nucleotides) under uncultured Glomeromycotina. RNAcentral's name for it is "SSU rRNA". It matches the Rfam family "Eukaryotic small subunit ribosomal RNA", at positions 548 to 1098 of the family's 1831-position model. The record is from RNAcentral. Lineage: Eukaryota; Fungi; Glomeromycota.